CCUACGGGAGGCAGCAGUGGGGAAUAUUGGACAAUGGGCGAAAGCCUGAUCCAGCCACGCCGCGUGCGUGAAGAAGGUCUUCGGAUUGUAAAGCACUUUAAGUUGGGAGGAAGGGCAGUAACUUAAUACGUUGCUGUCUUGACGUUACCGACAGAAUAAGCACCGGCUAACUCUGUGCCAGCAGCCGCGGUAAU
RNAcentral lists this ribosomal RNA (194 nucleotides) under uncultured bacterium. Its description in RNAcentral is "partial 16S ribosomal RNA". It matches the Rfam family "Bacterial small subunit ribosomal RNA", at positions 338 to 524 of the family's 1533-position model. The record is from RNAcentral.